CAACGACUUCGUAAGAAGUCGUGACAAACGCCUUCGCGUACUACCUUCAGGCACGGACUGAGAAGGAUGUGGAGAUUUUUGACCAGGUGAAACUGAAUAUCGACAAGGCACAGGAGAAACAGAAGGAGAGCUACCGGAGCAGAAUCAAGAAGGGGACCAAGUGCCACCGCAUCCAGGCAAAAAUGGUUACCUCGGUGGAAGCCAACAAUCUUAUCCAGUUGGAGCAGUUGGAUGGUUGACCACUGAAAGCCCUGAUGCCCUAAACUUCAGUGAAGCCCAAUAGACAAAGACCAUUGACUGUCCAAGCCCCACCAGAGCCAGUGCGUACGGAUCAGUCUGAUUCUCUGUGCUCUGAGUCGGAGGGGGACCAGUUUGAGGAUCUAGGUGUUCUGCCCAACACCCAGAUGGGGAUCCACCUGUCAUCCGUUACCAACCACCCUCCAACUUUUCAUUACAUCAGCUACAGCUACGGUUAUUGUCAUGUUGUAAUUAUCUGAUUAAAAGUUUUCUUGCACUAUCAUGCUGGGCACAUAAUAUGUGAGAUACACAGAUUACCUAAAAACACUAGCACUGCAAACACUCAGAACAAAGAGAGCAGCAGUGCCUGGACCUUGCAGUCUCCCUCUUCAAGUCUCCAUUCCGAGAUUGACCUGCCUGUUGAGAACAAGUGACAGGCGGAACCUCCGACCACGUCCUCUAUAUUCUACACAACAGAAUUCCGUAUUUUAGUCUAUGAUUGCCAUGUGUGCAAACAAAUAUGUGA
Long non-coding RNA from Oncorhynchus tshawytscha (Chinook salmon), 763 nucleotides. Lineage: Eukaryota; Metazoa; Chordata; Actinopteri; Salmoniformes; Salmonidae. The record is from Ensembl.